UUGAUUAACUGGCUGCCAGAACUAAACCUCGAGGUCAGAAGACUUGUGGGUAACAACUGGAUUCCAGAACUCUGUCAGAGAGAGAUGAGUCCUUAAGAAUUGACUUAAGUGAUAUCUGUCAAUCUCAGAAGUUAUAUUCUUACAAUAAAUGUGAUGCUUUAUAAAAUACUGGAGCUACGAUUUCAUAUGCAAUUCAGUCAUCUGUGAAUGAACUUUUCUGCAAGUCUCCUUUCUUGUGCAUCUAGAUAAAAGGACAUUGAAAAAAUCAAGUUUUUAAAUAGUUUAAAUAUCCCUAAAUUCACCUGUUUCUACACUAGCCCCUGAGUUGUUAUAAAAGAUGAUUACUCUGUAUUGAAAUUGCCAGUUUUAUUGGAAAAAAUCAAAACUAGAAUAUUUUAAAAGCUUUUUGUUAUACUAGCUUUAAAAUAAAGUCAAUUGUGUUUUUAUGACUUUUUCUAAA
RNAcentral lists this long non-coding RNA (460 nucleotides) under Phascolarctos cinereus (koala). RNAcentral's name for it is "lncRNA (ENSPCIG00000013871.2)". Lineage: Eukaryota; Metazoa; Chordata; Mammalia; Diprotodontia; Phascolarctidae. The record is from RNAcentral.